UGGGGAAUUGUUCGCAAUGGGCGCAAGCCUGACGACGCAACGCCGCGUGGAGGAUGAAGGUCUUCGGAUUGUAAACUCCUGUUGCUCGGGACGAAAAGCUUCGACCUAAUACGUCGAAGUCUGACGGUACCGAGUGAGGAAGCCCCGGCUAACUCUGUGCCAGCAGCCGCGGUAAUACAGAGGGGGCAAGCGUUGUUCGGAAUUACUGGGCGUAAAGGGCGCGUAGGCGGCCUGCUAAGUCGAACGUGAAAUCCCUGGGCUCAACCCAGGAACUGCGUCCGAUACUGGUUGGCUUGAAUCUGGGAGAGGGAUGUGGAAUUCCAGGUGUAGCGGUGAAAUGCGUAGAUAUCUGGAGGAACACCGGUGGCGAAGGCGACAUCCUGGACCGGCAUUGACGCUGAGGCGCGAAAGCCAGGGGAGCAAACGGGAUUAGAUACCCCGGUAGUCCUGGCCCUAAACGAUGAAUGCUUGGUGUGGUGGGUAUCGAUCCCUACCGUGCCGAAG
RNAcentral lists this ribosomal RNA (504 nucleotides) under uncultured Acidobacteriota bacterium. Its description in RNAcentral is "bacterial SSU rRNA". It matches the Rfam family "Bacterial small subunit ribosomal RNA", at positions 355 to 851 of the family's 1533-position model. Lineage: Bacteria; Pseudomonadati; Acidobacteriota. The record is from RNAcentral.